GUGUGUGUGUGUGUGUGUGGAAGCGCGUGAGCUAAUAUAUUGAUUUCUGGAUGAUCUAAUGCAUAAGCAGGAAAUUUCUAAAAUAUCUAAGUUUUUGUUAAAUGUGCCUUAAAUUUUGUAUGGAAACAUGGAAAAUAAGAACUGCGAUGAGGCCCAAAAAAAAUUGCAUCGGCACUGGCAUGUGGUAAACUGUCUAGUCUAUUGUGUAGGUCGGAACUGUGAUUUGUGGUUUAGCACCAUAUCCAAAAUUCUGGAUGGAUAAAUAUUAUCCCUUCAGAGGAAGGUGCAAAGAGCACGUAGACACCGGGCAGAUCCUACCAUCUGAAAUAAAUGGAGUUUACAUAUAUCCGACUUAAUCCAAGAGAAACGAAACACACAAAAUGAAAUUCAGUCCAACUCCAAAAUUCUAACUCAAACACAA
Molecule: long non-coding RNA, 421 nt
Filed under: Phoenix dactylifera (date palm)
Lineage: Eukaryota; Viridiplantae; Streptophyta; Magnoliopsida; Arecales; Arecaceae
Description: long non-coding RNA (PDAC_LNC004794)
Source: RNAcentral